RNAcentral lists this ribosomal RNA (519 nucleotides) under uncultured bacterium. RNAcentral describes it as "partial 16S ribosomal RNA". It matches the Rfam family "Bacterial small subunit ribosomal RNA", at positions 28 to 507 of the family's 1533-position model. The record is from RNAcentral.
GACGAACGCUGGCGGCGUGCCUAAUACAUGCAAGUCGAGCGAGUCUGCCUUGAAGAUCGGAGUGCUUGCACUCUGUGAAACAAGGUACAGGCUAGCGGCGGACGGGUGAGUAACACGUGGGUAACCUGCCCAAGAGAUCGGGAUAACACCUGGAAACAGAUGCUAAUACCGGAUAACAACAGAUGAUGCCUAUCAACUGUUUAAAAGAUGGUUCUGCUAUCACUCUUGGAUGGACCUGCGGUGCAUUAGCUAGUUGGUAGGGUAACGGCCUACCAAGGCGAUGAUGCAUAGCCGAGUUGAGAGACUGAUCGGCCACAUUGGGACUGAGACACGGCCCAAACUCCUACGGGAGGCAGCAGUAGGGAAUCUUCCACAAUGGACGAAAGUCUGAUGGAGCAACGCCGCGUGAGUGAAGAAGGGUUUCGGCUCGUAAAGCUCUGUUGUUGGUGAAGAAGGACAGGGGUAGUAACUGACCUUUGUUUGACGGUAAUCAAUCAGAAAGUCACGGCUAACUACGUG